CAUGGAGUUUGAUCCUGGCUCAGAUUGAACGCUGGCGGCAGGCCUAACACAUGCAAGUCGAGCGGUAGAGAAAAGCUUGCUUCUCUUGAGAGCGGCGGACGGGUGAGUAAUGCCUAGGAAUCUGCCUGGUAGUGGGGGAUAACGUUCGGAAACGGACGCUAAUACCGCAUACGUCCUACGGGAGAAAGUGGGGGAUCUUCGGACCUCACGCUAUCAGAUGAGCCUAGGUCGGAUUAGCUAGUUGGUGAGGUAAUGGCUCACCAAGGCGACGAUCCGUAACUGGUCUGAGAGGAUGAUCAGUCACACUGGAACUGAGACACGGGCCCAGACUCCGUACGGGGAGCAGCAGUGGGGAAUUUGGACAAUGGACGCAAGUCUGAUCCCAGCCAUUCCGCGUGCAGGAU
This 404-nucleotide ribosomal RNA is filed under the name uncultured Pseudomonas sp. Its description in RNAcentral is "bacterial SSU rRNA". It matches the Rfam family "Bacterial small subunit ribosomal RNA", at positions 1 to 409 of the family's 1533-position model. The record is from RNAcentral. Lineage: Bacteria; Pseudomonadati; Pseudomonadota; Gammaproteobacteria; Pseudomonadales; Pseudomonadaceae.